GCGUCGGUAGUGCAACGAUUGGCAUACGCUCCUGGAAAGAGUGAGAUUUGGGUUUGAAUCCCGGCCGACGCA
Parelaphostrongylus tenuis is the source of this 72-nucleotide non-coding RNA. The record is from the annotation of a GenBank genome assembly. Lineage: Eukaryota; Metazoa; Nematoda; Chromadorea; Rhabditida; Metastrongylidae.